UUCAUUAUGUGUUAAUAUCAGAAGCAAUCGUUAAAUUAGUGAUUUUGUGACCAAAAGGUCAAUGUAACCAAACUUCUUAAGGUCUAGUAAGCCAAUAUAUUGUUAUAACCGCAUCCAAGACACAACCUUGAAUAAGAGUCAUUUUUGAAACUAAGUGCAAAAGAAAAAUUUGCUUUUUCUGCCACAUCUUUAGGAAAUAGACAGGACACGUUUUAGUGAUUGGGAUACUGACACAAUGAAAACUACAAUGAAGUUUAUUCUUGUAUUCAGUACAUUAGCUGUAAUUGGAACAGCUGGUAACUGCUCACCUCCCAGUUUUAAAAAUGAAAAUAUCACACAACUACAAACGAGAGGACAAGCUGCUCAUACUUGUAAAAUGUUCUUGGCCCUUACACUGAUUUUGACUGGUUUGAAAUUGGUGUUACUCUGUUUAAUGUUCAGAUACAUUUACGAUCUUGCAGAUUGCUAAGUAACAAACGACUUCAAUUUCUCUUUUUCCCCUAAUGGUAAAAACUAUGUAAGUAAAAGUAUUUGAUAAUAGCAUAUUAUGAUUUAUAUUUUAUUAAAGUAUUUAUUAUUUAUGCUCUAUAUUAUUUAAAUUAAAUUUUUUAAGUGUACGUUCGUUGCGCUCUUUAUUAAUUUUGUGUUGUACCUUAUUUUAUGAAAAAGAGAGAGUGUGAAUGUCUGUAUAAAACUAGCCAACACCAAUAACUUCUGAUUGAAACAAGAUACGAAAUAUAUAUUUUAUAAACUUUAUCAUUGUUUUUAUAUUAAUCACCAGAGUUCAACUGUUAAAAUAAAUGUAAUAUUUUCCCAUUAAUUAUUACUUUUUCUACAAAAUUAAUAAUUUCGUUAAUUAUUUUUCUAAAUAGUGUGCUCAUCGUUGUAAUUUUGUUUAUAUAAAAACAUUUUACCAUAUCUUGGACAUUAUUAAAAUAACAAAUAAAAUGUAAAAUAUAUUAAUUCUAAUGCUACUUUCAGGGCAUAUAUUUUUUAAAAGAUUCCAAGUAGUGACAUUAAUUACCGACAUAUAGACAUUGAGAAACUUAAAAGUAUUAUCAUACAGUGUCUCAACUUUUUGUUUAAAUUGAAAUAAAAGAAGCGAAACAACAAUAUAAUGCCAUAGACAAUGAUAUUAUAAAAAAUAUUUAUCGUUUCUAAAUGUAUAUUAUUUUCAGCAUUAUUAAUUUUUUUAAAUGAAUUAUCUUUUUAUUAAAAAAUCUUGUAUGGAUGCAUUUAGGCCAACACAGUACUCUAUUUAUAGCGAAAUAACCAAACAUUUAGUUUGUUUAAAAGUGAAAAAAGGGUAGCAAGAAGGCAGCAUUCGAUCUUUAAGAAUCCUACCUUAAACGCUGCACAAUUAAAUUUAAAAAUAAUGUUUUUUAUUAGUAGUUUUUCUUAGUAAAAAAAAUAAAUUAAUUUAUUGUGUACUCAGAUGUUUAUUUUAGAAGUAAAUCUGUAACAUUCUAGUUAAAAAAAAAAGGUUAUAAAGACAGUUUAUGUUUCAACACAAACUGAAAAACGACCCCCAAAGUGGUCUAACUAGAGUCUUCACCAGGAUUCGAACACGGGACUUCCAGUUCGAAGUGCUUUACCACUAAGCCACAGCAUCUCCAUAUAUUCAUUUAGCGUACACUUAUAUUUUUUUAAAUAAUAAUUUUUAACCUUAUCCAUUCAAAAUUGAUUACAUGCUACAUGCAAUAAAGAGAAACUAAAAAAGAUUUAUUCUUCUUACAAAAUUAGAUAAAUUGGCAACACGAAAAAAAAGAGUUCAUCUAUUUUAGUUAGGUAGUGAGCUAGCUAGAAAUGACUUGAAAAACUUGGAGUAGGACUACUUGGACCAGACAUUCCCCUCACAAAAUAAAAAUUAAUAUCUUCAUCGCCAUUUGUCACACAAACUAGACAUAGCUCUAGCUAGAUCUAGACCUAGUUUUAGAUCUAAAUCUAGAUUCAAGAUCUAAGUCUAGGUCUAGAACUAGAUCUAAGUCUAGGUCUAGAACUAGAUCUAAGUCUAGAUCUAGAAGUAGAUCUAAGUCUAGAUCUAGAUCUAAUUGUAGAUGUAAUUCUAGAUCUAGAUCUAGAACUAGAUAUAGAAUCUUGAUAUAGAAUCUACUAUAUCUAAACUUGAACUAGUAUGAAUUUACUCGUUUAAUCUUAAAAUUACUAGACCUAGGCAAAUGUUAUGAUCAUGAAUAGUAGGCCUUUUGUUACCGCGUAAUGUCUUUACCAAUGGUGUACUAUGCUGUUCGUAUUCAAUUCAUUUCGUAC
Molecule: long non-coding RNA, 2268 nt
Organism: Biomphalaria glabrata
Lineage: Eukaryota; Metazoa; Mollusca; Gastropoda; Planorbidae
Exons: 3
Source: RefSeq, a predicted model, not a curated record